AUGAAGAAAAUACCCUACCGGAUCUACACAAGGACAAGAACUAACAAGCAGUUUUCACUUUCCCGACAUGGGCACAGGGGUGAUCGUCACCGACUACCGCACCCGGUGGGCAUCGUGCUCUUCAACAACUCGGAGAUGGACUUCACCGUGAAGCCCGGCGACUGCGUCACACAGAUGAUUUUCCAGGUGAUUGUGACGCUGGAGGUCGACGAGGUGGAGGACCUUGACGCCACCGUCAGGAGGUUGCCGAGGUGGAGGACCUCGAUGCCACCGUCUGGAGGUUGCCGAGACAGACUUAAGCAUAGAUACGAAUCCAUUUAUUAUCAAUGGCUUGCCGAUCCUCGGAUUUCAUGGCCUCAAACCAUUUCGCGGAAUCUGGAUGACUUAUGUUUCAUCAAGAAGAUAUACUCAUAUCUGCUCAAAUCAUCUGUGAAGUUCAGAGAAUAA
Molecule: ribosomal RNA, 447 nt
Filed under: Triticum aestivum (bread wheat)
Lineage: Eukaryota; Viridiplantae; Streptophyta; Magnoliopsida; Poales; Poaceae
Description: partial small subunit ribosomal RNA
Source: RNAcentral